Molecule: long non-coding RNA, 662 nt
Filed under: Calidris pugnax (ruff)
Lineage: Eukaryota; Metazoa; Chordata; Aves; Charadriiformes; Scolopacidae
Description: lncRNA (ENSCPUG00000008617.1)
Source: RNAcentral
CUGGAUACUUCAGUCUUGCAGGAACUAAAUGCAAUGGGUAAUGUGGACAGAAUGUGCCUUGGGUAUAAGUUUAGCCCUGUUUUUUAAGUGGUUGAUAAUUACUCUUUUUCGUAUUUUCCUUGAUAUCUAGCAGGUGACACACAGAAUGAAAGUGAGGAACGAGGACUCACAGGUUUUGCAGGAGGUAGCUUUGACUCAUCAACGCCAAUACAAGCUUUGAUUUGGAGCAGGAGGAGGUCUACAAAUACAAGAGGUGUCACCUGGCCCUUAAUGAAGACCUUCUGAUCGAGAGAUCAAGCCAAGACCCUUCUUGCUUGAAGUGAAAAACCUCCACUAUCAGUUGAGCAACCUACUCCCAUGCGGCCAAGUUAGAAGCUUGGAAAGAAAGAGGAAGAUUUUAAGACAAUCUGCUAAUACCUGCUGGUUACCAGAAAUUCCCCUGGUCUUCACAACGUGGCCUGUCUUUCUAUCAACGACUGCACAGACAGCAAAAAUAAGAAUUCACCAAAAAAGCUCCUGGCAAGCAUCUUGAAUUAUCUGACUGCCUUGGAAGAUAGUCGUGAUGAGCCAUCCACCACCUCAAGUCACGGAGGUGCAAGAGAAAUCCGUCCUGAUGUACAGAGGAGCCUUGGAAGGGAUGGAGAUUUCUGCCUCAAACUCCU